GACGAACGCUGGCGGCGUGCUUAACACAUGCAAGUCGAACGAGAAUCUGUGGAAAGAGGAUUCGUCCAAUUGAAGCAGAGGACAGUGGCGGACGGGUGAGUAACGCGUGAGGAACCUGCCUUUCAGAGGGGGACAACAGUUGGAAACAACUGCUAAUACCGCAUAACAUAUAGAUGUCGCAUGGCAUUUAUAUCAAAGAUUUAUCGCUGAAAGAUGGCCUCGCGUCUGAUUAGCUAGUUGGUGAGGUAACGGCCCACCAAGGCGACGAUCAGUAGCCGGACUGAGAGGUUGAACGGCCACAUUGGGACUGAGAUACGGCCCAGACUCCUACGGGAGGCAGCAGUGGGGAAUAUUGGGCAAUGGGCGCAAGCCUGACCCAGCAACGCCGCGUGAAGGAAGAAGGCUUUCGGGUUGUAAACUUCUUUUGUCAGGGACGAGUAGAAGACGGUACCUGACGAAUAAGCC
RNAcentral lists this ribosomal RNA (465 nucleotides) under uncultured bacterium. RNAcentral describes it as "bacterial SSU rRNA". It matches the Rfam family "Bacterial small subunit ribosomal RNA", at positions 28 to 492 of the family's 1533-position model. The record is from RNAcentral.